AUGAAACUUUUGUGGGGGUGCCCAUGCCAUAUUUCGUUAUUAAAUCCUGAUUUGUUAAAUCUUACAAUGGAACACUUGCACGUAGCCUACACAAAAAUGAUUAAUUCACUAACAAAGUAAUAGGCUUGUCUCAAAAUGGAAGAUUUACCACAUAACAAAAUAAUACAUUAGCAACUGUCCACUAUCCAAGUGCAAUGGUCCAAGCUGUAUUGCCAUCCUGGGAAGAAAAAAAGUUGCGAACAUCGUGGGAAAAAACGGCACUGGCGCACAUAAUGGAUGGCAACAUGGGUGCAUUUAUAGUCCAUCAUGACAUAAAAAAUCCUCUGCAUGCAACCACGAGGAGAGGGGGAAUUUACUAAGGAGUUUUGUCUAUAUAUUAUAUAAAAUCUACUGUUGGAGCAGAACCUAAUCCAAAUAAAAAUAAACAAGCUGUUAAAAGCCAGUUGAAGGUGGUCAACACAAACCAAAUGAAGAUGUUGCACAUUCCACAAACAAUAAAAAAGAAGAUCAAGUUUUGUGUCCAACACACUUGGAUGAGACGUGCCCGACCCCUGACUUUGUCUACCCUACAUUAAGUUGUGAUGGCACACUUCAUGACAGUAAACAUCGGUAUCAAGAUGAUGUGAUUGAUCUAUACCCUAGAAUAAGCUGUGACACUAUGAGACGGUGACAUAAUGAACAGCCAUCUUCCAGACAACCGAAACAGUAUUGUCUACAAUACCAAAUUCUGGAUUGACGCCCCAGUACCAGAAGGCACUCCAAUCCCAGAGAGCAUCCCAUUGUGAGGUAACACAACGAAAAAAUAACAGGAUGGAGACUACCUAAUUCUUCACCUAUGGCCUUAGCUUCAAAUGCAAGAAGUAAGAAAUGCUAUAUGACGUGUAUUUUGCAUUAUGAAUGCAUUAUGAAUACAUCAAAGAUGUUGAUAACAAGUUGAUCUGUGUAAGUUGUGAUAUAAAGAAUAUGUAUAUAUAUUUCCAUCUAUCUUUCUAUAACAUUAUUUCAAUUGUUUUCACAUUUAGGUCCAGCAACUGUCUGAGCUGGUGGAUAUUCUAUCAGAGACUGCAUGAACAACGUUAUGAACAGGUAUGUGUUUCCCUUGAAUUGUGUAAUCCUGCAUAAUAUUGCAGGAAUAUUGAUUACAACCAUAAUUAACCCAGCAAUUUAUAUUACUUAAAUUCAGGAUUUAAUCUGUCACACAUCACUUGUUCAGAACUAUUAAAGUUCGUAGUGGCUCAAACAGUCAGCCAUACUGAAAACAAGAAAUCAAAUCAUAAUUUCAGUGUAAGCCAGUGGUGUCAAACUCAGUUCCUGGAGGGCCGGUGUCAUUUUUUGACAGUUACACACCUAGUUUAGGGUCUUUCUCAAGGGCACCACAGUGGGAUUGAAGAGCAAGGGUACAAAUGCUGUUGGUCUCACAACUGAUCUAACACUUAUUUAA
Molecule: non-coding RNA, 1441 nt
Organism: Paramisgurnus dabryanus
Lineage: Eukaryota; Metazoa; Chordata; Actinopteri; Cypriniformes; Cobitidae
Source: RefSeq, a predicted model, not a curated record